Molecule: long non-coding RNA, 563 nt
Filed under: Homo sapiens (human)
Lineage: Eukaryota; Metazoa; Chordata; Mammalia; Primates; Hominidae
Description: long non-coding RNA NONHSAT185017.1
Source: RNAcentral
AGCUGGUCUUGAAUUCCUAGGCUUGAGAGACACCUUCCUCAAACCCCAUCAUGGUCUCCCAAAGUGCUGGGAUUACAUCUGAAGACUCAGGACAACGAAACAAAACCCUAAUGCCCUGAAUUCCCAAGGAAAUGACCUAAGGUUCUCUUUCUGUCGUGAAGCUAGGAGACCUCUGAGAUGGGAGUCAGUGUGAGGUCUCCAGAGAUGUAAAUUUAUAAUUGAGGGCCACAAGGAAUCAGGGAGCUGGAGGAGACUGCGUUCCACCUGGCAUCUAGUUUUGCUGCGAAAGCAACCCAUGGAGAUAAUCAAACAACUUGGCAACAAGUCAUAUGGAAGAGGGAGGAAAAAAAGACUAACUUCCCAGAGCUGGAGGGAAAGCAGAAAGCCAUGCUUAAGCUCUCAUCAGUGGGAGCCAUUCCAUCCCAGGAUCCUUUCAGCAACCAAUUUGGAAGUCUAGGCUUUUCAGUAAAUAGUUUUAUCUUGUGUUUCGAAAAAGCCACACUUCAUCUUCUGAGCCUCAUAUUCUCUUACAUGAAGUUACUAAAUAAAUCUGUAUUUCUUUU